This 253-nucleotide ribosomal RNA is filed under the name uncultured bacterium. RNAcentral describes it as "partial 16S ribosomal RNA". It matches the Rfam family "Bacterial small subunit ribosomal RNA", at positions 524 to 776 of the family's 1533-position model. The record is from RNAcentral.
UCCGUAGGGACCAAGCGUUGUCCGGAUUUACUGGGCGUAAAGGGCGCGUAGGCGGCUUGACAAGUCACUUGUGAAAUCUCCGGGCUUAACUCGGAACGGCCAAGUGAAACUGUCAUGCUAGAGUGCAGAAGGGGCAAUCGGAAUUCUUGGUGUAGCGGUGAAAUGCGUAGAUAUCAAGAGGAACACCUGAGGUGAAGACGGGUUGCUGGGCUGACACUGACGCUGAGGCGCGAAAGCCAGGGGAGCAAACGGG